UUUUAACUGUUAAAAGCAGAACUUUGGACCCUGCCAGAGCCACCGUUGCCAGCGACAUGUUCAAGGUAAUUCAGAGGUCCGUGGGGCCGGCCAGCCUGAGCUUGCUCACCUUCAAAGUCUAUGCUGUACCAAAAAAGGACUCACCUCCCAAAAAUUCUGUGAAGGUUGAUGAGCUUUCACUCUACUCAGUUCUCAAAGGUCAAUCGAAGUAUGUGGAGGAGUCAAGGAGCCCACUUGAAGAAAGCGUCUCAUAGCUUCGACACUACUGUGAGCCAUACACAAGCUGGUGUCAGGAAACGUACUCCCAAACUAAGCCCAAGAUGCAAAGUUUGGUUCAAUGGGGGUUAGACAGCUAUGACUAUCUCCAAAAUGUACCGCCUGGAUUUUUUCCGAGACUUGGUGUUAUUGGUUUUGCUGGCCUUAUUGGACUCUUUUUGGCUAGAGGUUCAAAAAUGAAGAAGCUAGUGUAUCUGCCUGGUUUCAUGGGAUUAGCUGCCUCCCUCUAUUAUCCACAACAAGCCAUCGUGUUUGCCCAGGUCAGUGGGGAGAGAUUAUAUGACUGGGGUUUACGAGGAUAUAUCGUCAUAGAAGAUUUGUGGAAGGAGAACUUUCAAAAGCCAGGAAAUGUGAAGAAUUCACCUGGAACUAAGUAGAAAACUCCAUGCUCUGCCCAUCUUAAUCAGUUAUAGGUAAACAUUGGAAACUCCAUAGAAUAAAUCGGUAUUUCUACAGAAAAAUGGCAGAGAAGUCAGUAUUGAAUGUAUUAAAUUGGUUUUCUUCUUCAGGAAAAACUAGACCAGACUUCUGUUAUCUUGGGUGAUACCAUCCUACAAGCAAACUAAUCUGAAACCCUUUCACCUAGAGAUAAUGUACAAGCCUUAGAACUCCUCAUUCUCAUGUUGCUAUUUAGGUACAUAAUUAAAACCCAAGUUAAAAAAAAACGCAGAACUUUCCCAUCCACAGAAGUAGCAGUAGAAAAGCACAAAAUGGAAAUAUUGUGAAGAUGCUGUGUACUGCAGAGAGUCUCAUGAAGAGGAUUUUUAUUUUCACUAGGUGGCUUAAAAAUACCAUGUGUAAUUGUAGAGAGAUGUUUAUUGAGCUACUGCUUACUGCAAUUUGUGACCUCUUCUAACAGACCUGUUUCCCUGAACUGUAAAGAUUCCUGCAUAGUAGACACACAGAGAGUGUAAAAGACUAAUUUUUUUAAGAGGACAAUGGAUUGGUUUUUAUUAUUUUUGCUAAGAAAGUUUCUAGGUGGCAGGUGCUAUCUGGGGUGGCAGGUGCUGUCUGGGGAGGAGGUGAGUGCAGCAGACACAGUGGCCAAACUGUCUGCUUCCGUCUGUGGAUAGAGAGAGAAAGAAAGUUUGGACACAGGAUAGCUGGAAGAGAACCUUGGGAUUAAAGAAUAGAUUUAAAGUUGAGAUUUUCUCCAUACUUACCAGUAUGAUGAAUGAAUUCCCUUUCCCAGCCAGUGCACCAAAAUGCUACAGCUCCAGUGAGUGGAGGAACACCAGGGUUCUUUGUCUCAGGUCAAAUUAGGUAAAACAACAUGGACACACAUGGAGUGGUUUUAAGGAGCAGAGAGUUUAAUAGACAAGAAAGAAGGAAUGAGGAAAAAAAUAGCUCCCCGAUACAGAGACGGAGGGAGGAUUCGAACACAGAGAAAACCCCUCUGGUUAAUUUUUUAAAAAACUUAUCUGCAGAAACGGAGGCUCCCUUUGUUGUCCAGGCUAGUUUUGAACUCUUGGCCUCAAGUAAUUCUCCCACCUCAGCUUCCCAAAGUGCUAGGGUUAUAGGUAUGAGCCACUAGACCCAGCCAAGAAUAGCCAUUUUUACUUACUUCCCAAUAUUAGGGUAAAAACACUCAAUAUGUCACUGUGUAUAAUGAUGUGAAUUGUAGGUAUUGUUUGUAGAUGCCUUGUAUCAAUUAACUUCAUUCCUAGUUUGCUGAGCAUUUUUACCAUGAAUUGGUGUUGAAUUUUAUGAAAUGCUUUUCUGCACAUAUUAUUUUAUGAUUUCUCUCCUUUAUUCUAUUGUUGUGAUUAAUUACAUACAUUUUCUUUGUUUUUCUUUUUUGGGGGGUGGGUUUUGAGAUGGAGUCUCACUCUGUUGCCCAGGCUGGAGUGUAGUGGCAUGAUCUUGGGUCACUGCAACCUCUGCCUCCCGGGUUCAAGCAAUUCUCAUGCCUCAGCCUCCCUGGUAGCUAGAAUUACAGGUGUGCGCCACCACGCCUAGCUAAUUUUUGUAUUUUUAAUAGGGACAGGGUUUUGCCAUGUUGGCCAGGCUGUUCUCAAACUCCUGACCUCAAGUGAUCUGCUCACCUUGGCCUCCCAAAGUGCUGGGAUUACAGGCCUGGGCUACCAUACCCAACCCAUUUUCUUGAUUAAAUACAUUUUCUAAUGUUGAGCCAACAUUUUGUUUCUGGGAUAAACUCACAGGCACGCACACGCACGCGCGCGCACACACACACACACACACACACUACAUAUACCUACACUUCAUUUAAUAAUAUAUGGUGAGAAUUUUUACAUCUAAGUGAGUGAGAUUGGUCUUUAAUUUUUUUUCUUAUAAUUUGUUAGAUUUUGAUAUUAGGAGUAUGUUGCUCUCAUAAAAUCAGUUAUGAAGCAUUCCCUUAUUAUUAUUUUCUGAUAGAAGUUGAAUGCGUAUUUCACCCUUAAAUGUUUGAUAGCACUUGUUGUUGAAAUAAUCUGGCCAGGAAUUUUCUUUGUAGGAGGACCUGGUUCUAAGAAGACACAUGUGGUCUACACUGUGUUAAGUGCCUCACAGAGGUCAGAAAAGUCUAGAAACCCAAAGACAAAGGCUAUUCUUUCUUCACAGCGUGGAGCCACAGAUGUACAUGUGGCACAUCUAGCCUGUCCCUGUUUCGGUGCUGAACAGGAGUGCACCGUUUUUCUGAGCAGUUGAGAGCCCCACAGACCUGGUGCUUGUGUAUCCUCUUUCUUCCUGCACCCCUCCCUGGAGAAGAGGACAUGGCCGAGCUCCUUGUUCCCCACGUAGCCCUUCAAUAAGGGCUUGGUCCUGGAUCCACUGUUCUACCUACAAUUCUCAAUGCUUACCAAGGUGGGGCGGGCUCCAUCUCUCCAGGGAGUCCUCUUUCCUAAGGAGCCAAUCCAUGAAGCCUGCUGCCUGUUGGACAAGCCCCAAAGUGUCAAGACCACCUCGAAUACCAUGUGGCCAAAAUGGAACUUGGCUUGUCAUAAAAAUCUGAGUCCAUAAAUUCCUUUCGUUUGUUU
Molecule: non-coding RNA, 3254 nt
Organism: Callithrix jacchus (white-tufted-ear marmoset)
Lineage: Eukaryota; Metazoa; Chordata; Mammalia; Primates; Cebidae
Source: RefSeq, a predicted model, not a curated record